RNAcentral lists this non-coding RNA (28 nucleotides) under Rattus norvegicus (Norway rat). Lineage: Eukaryota; Metazoa; Chordata; Mammalia; Rodentia; Muridae. The record is from RNAcentral.
UGAGCCUGUUGCCAGUGCACUGCCAGAC